RNAcentral lists this long non-coding RNA (1329 nucleotides) under Homo sapiens (human). RNAcentral describes it as "non-protein coding LINC00635:7". Lineage: Eukaryota; Metazoa; Chordata; Mammalia; Primates; Hominidae. The record is from RNAcentral.
UAGGGACCCUAGGAAUGCUUCUUUGUCUCUGUGUGGUCUCUUCAGCAUAGCAACAGCAGCGUAGCUGAACAUCUUACGGAUGGCCCAGGGCUCCAAAGGCUCGUUUCCUAAGUGAGAGAGAGCCUGGCUGAAGCUGUAUUACCAUUCAUUCUCCAGCCUCCGAAGUCUCAAAGCAUCACUUCCACCAUACUCUAACUGUCAAGACAAACACAAAGGCCCAGAAACUGCCAGACUGUCUUCUGAAGUGGCUAUAAUAUUUACACUCCCAUCAGCAGUGUAGAAGGGGUCUCACUAUGUUGUCUGGAGUGCUGUGGUGGAGUGGAGUGGCUAUUCACAGAGCCUGUUCUGCUGGGACACAGAAUCACUUGCUCCAUCUCAUACAUUGAUGAUGAUUAAUUUGUAUGUGUACCUUCCAAAAAAGAUGGUUGUGUUUGAAUGGAGGCCUUCUGGACAGGAAAAUAAUCACAUCCUUCCUGAGAUAAUGAGCACACAAUUGCCUGGAUACCUGAAGGAAUGGAGACAGCGGCAGAAAACACUGCAGAGAGGUGGAAACAUCCGUUAAUAUUUUAAAAUCCCAUUACUGCUACCAACAAUAAUAAUGGAUGCAUAGAAAUAGAUCUGGAUUAGCUGAGCUUGAAACAGUCCAUCUCACACACACACAAAAGAAUUUCAGAUACAGUGAACCCACAUGUUGAAGCUUUCUAGUAUAAUAAAAAUUUCAACUGUUCUGUUGAAUCAUCUGCCUGAUUGGAGGCUACAGAAAAGAUGUCAUCUUAGGAGUGCUUGCUCUGAGUGAGGCUCAUCUUCAAAUCUGAAUGACCACAAGGAGAUUUGAUUAUACAUGUGAACACCUCAGAAGGCACAGCCCACCCAGAAGGCAGACAGGUCAGGCUGCUUUUUCUUCAUUGCUUGGAUUCAAUCCUCCGGGCGGCUCAGGCUCAAACAUAACUUAAGCAUGAUUAAACUUUAGAAGAAGCUGCCAGGAAGACUGUGAAAUCUUCAUGCCCAAGGAUCCCUAAAAUUAGGAGCAACAACCACUUGGCUCAGACGGUUUAUGGAGGCAAAGGUUUGGAUGGGAUUAGAGAUUUCUAAAUGUGAGUUCGUGUCCUCUGCCAGACCACCUUACUUCCACCAUUCCUCAGCAAAUCAAGAAAAACAGGAGAAAAGACAUGCCUUUCCAUAAGUUAAAUCUAUUCUGUUUUAAUUCUAUAUUAUAUCUGCUGUACAACUUCUUUUGUUUGUAACACCAUAUUGUUGCUAGUAACUGGAAAUUAAUUUUCACAUGCCUCAGCUUAGAAAAAUAAAAAGCAGCCCUGCAUCAAUCCCAAU